GAGUUUGAUCGUGGCUCAGAUUGAACGCUAGCGGGAUGCCUUACACAUGCAAGUCGAACGGCAGCACGGACUUCGGUCUGGUGGCGAGUGGCGAACGGGUGAGUAAUGUAUCGGAACGUGCCUAGUAGCGGGGGAUAACUACGCGAAAGCGUAGCUAAUACCGCAUACGCCCUACGGGGGAAAGCAGGGGAUCGCAAGACCUUGCACUAUUAGAGCGGCCGAUAUCGGAUUAGCUAGUUGGUGGGGUAACGGCUCACCAAGGCGACGAUCCGUAGCUGGUUUGAGAGGACGACCAGCCACACUGGGACUGAGACACGGCCCAGACUCCUACGGGAGCAGCAGU
This 343-nucleotide ribosomal RNA is filed under the name uncultured bacterium. Its description in RNAcentral is "bacterial SSU rRNA". It matches the Rfam family "Bacterial small subunit ribosomal RNA", at positions 9 to 355 of the family's 1533-position model. The record is from RNAcentral.